RNAcentral lists this ribosomal RNA (68 nucleotides) under Paraburkholderia phenazinium. Its description in RNAcentral is "16S rRNA. Bacterial SSU". It matches the Rfam family "Bacterial small subunit ribosomal RNA", at positions 1 to 66 of the family's 1533-position model. Lineage: Bacteria; Pseudomonadati; Pseudomonadota; Betaproteobacteria; Burkholderiales; Burkholderiaceae. The record is from RNAcentral.
UUGAACUGAAGAGUUUGAUCCUGGCUCAGAUUGAACGCUGGCGGCAUGCCUUACACAUGCAAGUCGAA